Bombyx mori (domestic silkworm) is the source of this 85-nucleotide non-coding RNA. Lineage: Eukaryota; Metazoa; Arthropoda; Insecta; Lepidoptera; Bombycidae. The record is from Rfam.
UUAACUCAAAUUUGUAUGGAGUUGGAACGUUUGCCUACGUUUGGCGCUAGGGGCGCUGUUCCAAUUGCAUACCAAUUAUGAGUUA